GACGAACGCUGGCGGCGUGCUUAACACAUGCAAGUCGAACGGAAAGGCCCUGCUUUUGUGGGGUGCUCGAGUGGCGAACGGGUGAGUAACACGUGAGUAACCUGCCCUUGACUUUGGGAUAACUUCAGGAAACUGGGGCUAAUACCGGAUAGGAGCUCCUGCUGCAUGGUGGGGGUUGGGAAGGUUCGGCGGUUGGGGAUGGACUCGCGGCUUAUCAGCUUGUUGGUGGGGUAGUGGCUUACCAAGGCUUUGACGGGUAGCCGGCCUGAGAGGGUGACCGGCCACAUUGGGACUGAGAUACGGCCCAGACUCCUACGGGAGGCAGCAGUGGGGAAUAUUGCACAAUGGGCGGAAGCCUGAUGCAGCAACGCCGCGUGCGGGAUGACGGCCUUCGGGUUGUAAACCGCUUUCGCCUGUGACGAAGCGUGAGUGACGGUAAUGGGUAAAGAAGCACCGGCUAACUACGUG
Molecule: ribosomal RNA, 468 nt
Filed under: uncultured bacterium
Lineage: Bacteria
Description: partial 16S ribosomal RNA
Rfam family: Bacterial small subunit ribosomal RNA
Source: RNAcentral